AUUGCCUUAGUAACGGCGAGUGAAGCGGCAAAAGCUCAGAUUUGAAAUCUGUCGUCAUUUUGGCGGCCGAGUUGUAAUCUGUAGAGGAGUAUUCGAGUGUGGCUUUGGCUUAAGUUCCUUGGAACAGGGCGUCAUAGAGGGUGAGAACCCCGUUAACGGCCUUUGUCUUAUGCUCAUGUGAAUCUCCUUCAACGAGUCGAGUUGUUUGGGAAUGCAGCUCUAAAUGGGUGGUAAAUUCCAUCUAAAGCUAAAUACUGGCAAGAGACCGAUAGCGCACAAGUAGAGUGAUCGAAAGAUGAAAAGAACUCUGAACAGAGAGUUAAAUAGUACGUGAAAUUGUUGAAAGGGAAGCACUUGCGACCAGACGCACUUGUAGCCGAUCAACCUCCAUUCUUGGUGGUGCACUCGGUUGUAGGUGGGUCAGCAUCAGUUACGGCGGUGGGAAAAAGACCAAGGGAAUGUGGCUCUCUUCGGGGAGUGUUAUAGUCCUUGGUGUAAUGCUGCCAGCUGUGACUGAGGACCGCGCUUCGGUGAGGAUGCUGACAUAAUGGUCGUAAGUGACCCGUCUUGAAACACGGACCAAGGAGUCUAACAUCUAUGCGAGUGUUUGGGUGUUCAAACCCUUACGCGUAAUGAAAGUAAAUGGAGGUGGGAACCGCAAGGUGCACCAUCGACCGAUCCUGAUGUUUUCGGAUGGAUUUGAGUAGGAGCAUAGCUGUUGGGACCCGAAAGAUGGUGAACUAUGCCUGAAUAGGGUGAAGCCAGAGGAAACUCUGGUGGAGGCUCGCAGCGGUUCUG
RNAcentral lists this ribosomal RNA (798 nucleotides) under Phylloscypha nothofageti. RNAcentral's name for it is "partial large subunit ribosomal RNA". It matches the Rfam family "Eukaryotic large subunit ribosomal RNA", at positions 74 to 888 of the family's 3401-position model. The record is from RNAcentral. Lineage: Eukaryota; Fungi; Ascomycota; Pezizomycetes; Pezizales; Pezizaceae.